Homo sapiens (human) is the source of this 591-nucleotide long non-coding RNA. Ensembl annotates it as long intergenic non-protein coding RNA 1482. NCBI's taxonomy places the organism in Eukaryota, Metazoa, Chordata, Mammalia, Primates, Hominidae. The record is from Ensembl.
CUCCUGUUCCUGUGUGGUGACCUGGGAUUCAGUCUGUGAGGCGGGAAAUUUGCUAGCAGGACUCUCUCUUGCUCUGCUGAGAGGUUUCACUGUCACCUAAGCUGGAGUGCAGUGGCACAGUCAUGGCUCACUGCAGCCUCAACCUUCUGGGCUCAAGCAAUCCUUCUGUCUCAGUCCCUCAAGUGACUAGGACUACAGCUGGAUCUCCUGCUACACAACAGGAAAAUCCUAACUGAUGCUGGGUCACAGAAUACAUCCUGGCUCAUCAUUUCAGACUUCUACUCAAGAGCUUUUAUGAUGCUGCUCUGUCGACUCCCAUAAGACCUCCCAAACCCAGGCUCCAGGCUGACAUCUCACAGUUCCUCAAGGUGGACCAUCUCCUUCUGUCUGACCAACCCUAUUUAUCAUCCUCCUUACAUGCUGUGCUCAUUCCUUCAAUGACUCAUUCUACACUUUUAGCUACUCAUGGACUAUUGAACACAAAUGUACAGCCACUUCCAGGGUUUUCUAGGAAACUUUGUAUCACUCACUUUCACUUUCUGCUGGGUCAGCUGCAGGUAUGAAUUUGUUCAUCACAGAUUUAGACCAACC